Molecule: RNase P RNA, 286 nt
Filed under: Syntrophomonadaceae bacterium
Lineage: Bacteria; Bacillati; Bacillota; Clostridia; Eubacteriales; Syntrophomonadaceae
Description: partial RNase P RNA component class A
Rfam family: Bacterial RNase P class A
About the family: Ribonuclease P (RNase P) is a ubiquitous endoribonuclease, found in archaea, bacteria and eukarya as well as chloroplasts and mitochondria. Its best characterised activity is the generation of mature 5'-ends of tRNAs by cleaving the 5'-leader elements of precursor-tRNAs.
Source: RNAcentral
CAGGGCAGGGUGCUGGAUAACGUCCAGUGGGGGCGACCCCAAGGCCAGUGCCACAGAAACAAACCGCCCCGCUCACGCGAGGUAAGGGUGGAACGGCGAGGUAAGAGCUCACCAGCGGGCAGGCGACUGUCCGGCUAGGUAAACCCCACCUGGAGCAAGACCAAAUAGGGGGACAUAGGGAGUGGCCCGCUCCGUCCCCGGGUGUGUCGCUUGAGCCGUCAGGUAACUGCCGGCCCAGAUAGAUGACUGUUCUCGACAGAACUCCGCUUACAGAUUUACUUGCCGU